Molecule: ribosomal RNA, 254 nt
Filed under: uncultured bacterium
Lineage: Bacteria
Description: partial 16S ribosomal RNA
Rfam family: Bacterial small subunit ribosomal RNA
Source: RNAcentral
UACGGGGGAUGCAAGCGUCAUCCGGAUUUAUUGGGUUUAAAGGGUGCGUAGGCUGUGAGGUAAGUCAGCGGUGAAAUGCCCCCGCUCAACGGGGUGAAGUGCCAUUGAUACUGCCUUGCUGGAAUGCGGAUGCCGUGGGAGGAAUGUGUGGUGUAGCGGUGAAAUGCAUAGAUAUCACACAGAACACCGAUUGCGAAGGCAUCUCACGAAUCCGCUAUUGACGCUGAUGCACGAAAGCGUGGGUAUCAAACAGG